GACGAACGCUGGCGUCGUGCUUAACACAUGCAAGUCGAACGGAAAGGCCCUGCUUUGGUGGGGUGCUCGAGUGGCGAACGGGUGAGUAACACGUGAGUAACCUGCCCUUGACUUUGGGAUAACUUCAGGAAACUGGGGCUUAUACCGGAUAGGCGCGCCUGGUGCAUGGUGUGGGUUGGAAAGUUUCGGCGGUUGGGGAUGGACUCGCGGCUUAUCAGCUUGUUGGUGGGGUAGUGGCUUACCAAGGCUUUGACGGGUAGCCGGCCUGAGAGGGUGACCGGCCACAUUGGGACUGAGAUACGGCCCAGACUCCUACGGGAGGCAGCAGUGGGGAAUAUUGCACAAUGGGCGGAAGCCUGAUGCAGCAACGCCGCGUGCGGGAUGACGGCCUUCGGGUUGUAAACCGCUUUCGCCUGUGACGAAGCGUGAGUGACGGUAAUGGGUAAAGAAGCACCGGCUAACUACGUG
RNAcentral lists this ribosomal RNA (468 nucleotides) under uncultured bacterium. RNAcentral's name for it is "partial 16S ribosomal RNA". It matches the Rfam family "Bacterial small subunit ribosomal RNA", at positions 28 to 507 of the family's 1533-position model. The record is from RNAcentral.